Molecule: non-coding RNA, 76 nt
Organism: Merluccius polli (Benguela hake)
Lineage: Eukaryota; Metazoa; Chordata; Actinopteri; Gadiformes; Merlucciidae
Source: the annotation of a GenBank genome assembly
GGAAAGUCUAGUGGUUACGGUGUUUGACUUUUGGUCGAAAGGUUCUGGGUUCGAACCCCACCUGUAGGCAUCCUGA